UCCUGGUCAUCCUGGUCAUAGUCAUCAUCAUUGCUCUCGACAUAUAAUGUCCUUAACGUGUUCACCUCUCCUUUUAAGGAAAAGGAUAUGAACUCUCCCUCUUUAAAAUUGAUCACUGCAAUGUACUGCUCCCAUCCAUCACCGUAUAUGAUGGUUUUAUUCUUUCCUUUGCGCAGAUCCAAUUCAUAUUCGCGCUCCUCAUCAUCCUCAAAGUACAACAUGUUACCAUAUGAAUUGUUGAUGUCCUCCCAUAUGUUCCAUGGGACACACUAUGAAGCCUUUAAUAAUCAACAAUAAAGUCAGUAAAAUAGUUAAACAAAUGAUUGGAAUUCAAUAAAAAUUCAAUUAAAGACCGUUACCACUGAUUUUUGAAACCCCUUUCUCAAAUAUACCACGAACAGCACUGCAGUUUGAAGCCUGUCCGUACAUGGAUUUUGGUACACAUUGCACAUCUUACGCCUCAUGGUCCCUAAUAAUCAUUUUGAAGGAGUGAUUAAUUCCAUGACCCGAAUGAAACACAAUCCUUUCAAAUAAAGAAGCUAACACGGAAGAACACGAAAAUUUGGCAUGACCUUUGCUUAAUAUUGAAUAUAUUGAGUACUAGAAAUUUGAUAAAACGAAAGUUAAUCAACGUUUCACCAAAAUGUUGGCCCUCAUUUCAAAUCUCUACUGAUGGGGAGUGACUUGGCUUUUGUCAUAUUUAGAGUCUAACCGAUCCUAAAGAACUUCAGACAAAAUAUUGCAUUUUUGUCUAUUAUUAAUUCAUGGGGUUCCUACUUUUGAUCCUAGGUCUAUAAAUUUCUCUAUCAAAUGAAGAAGGUAACAUGGAAGAACACGAAAAUAUUAUACCGGUGAUGGCUUCGGUGGACGGUAGCGUUGGUUGGUCGAGGCGGAUAGCGGCAGCGGCAGUCGAGGCGGACGACGGCAGUGGCGGUCUAGGAGGACGAUGGCAGCGGCGGUCGAGGUGGAUGACGGUGGCGGUCAGUGGCGAACGACGAGCAGAUUCAGCGGCGGCGCGCACUACACCACGACACCACAAUAACGACAUGCAUCUGUCUGUUCGUAACAAUACCGACACACUAAUUUUUGAUGUUGUUCUCGUCUUUCGAUGAUCUGUCUGUCGGCAAUGGAUGACCGCUUUGCGGACAUACUAUGUGUCGGUAUAAGUUUUUUGCUAUUAGAUUAUGUGUCGCUGUUGCUUUGCGAUAGAAAGAGUGUCGGCGUAUGUUUGGGCCUAGCCAACUUAUUUUGGGCCACACGGGAAGAUCCUCCGGCGUCAGUGGCCAGCGAAAGAGUGGAGGCGAGCGAUGAGCAGAUCCUGCGGCGUCAGCGGCCGGCUAGCAGAUCCAAUGGCGGUGCGUGUCUGAGGGACGGCGACGGCGGCGGGCGAGGCGCACGAUGGCGCAGAGGGGGAGAGAAACUGACAAAGUGAGUGGGAACCGAAAAAUAGAUGCACAACGGUUCGGCACCAAGCAUCAAUAGCUGUGGCCGACGUACAAGUGUGCCCGCCACCGCAAAUAUCAUUAAAAUUUGGAUGGGAUUGGUGCGGUUUGCUAAUCUAUAGUUGUGGUGGGCAUUGUAAGCAACCCGCCACAACUAAUGGAGUACCAGUGGCGGGCACCAUGGAGUUGCUCGCCACUGCGUUGUUGAGCCGGAGGACUUAUUUGGAAGGGUCUACCUGUGACGGGCCCAAACCAGUGCCCGCCACUGAUCUGCCUUUAGCUAUGGCGGGCUCUCCCUGUCACCCGUCACAUAUCUUUUUGGAAAAUAACUGUGGCGGGUGCCCCACCUCGCCCGCCACUCGUUGGGGUUCACCUAUAAGCUCUUUCCUAGUUGUGUUACCUAGAUGUAAUUGUUAUUGUUCCUCCAUAGUAUCAAUGUUUGGGUCAAAAGAAUGUAUAAGGUGAUUGUCAAGUUCCUCGAUACCACCUUCGAUAUGUCCGUCUUUAGGUGCGUCAGGCAUGACAUAAUUUUUCUAAUCUGGAACAAUAGCUUCAUUGAGAUUUGGUGCCGGUGGUUUAUUAUGCACUCCUAUGAACUGGGAUCAACAAUGCCCAGAGAUAGUUUAUCUUUGUUCCAUGACCGUAUAUACUAGCAAAGCCCGCACGGCGGCACGCCGCGCCCAUCUAUAUGGUGUCUCUAUACAGAUUUUAUUUAUUAUUUACAGUAAGUUUUAUUAGUUUAAGAUAGGAGAUUCAUGUAUGUAAAAAUAUGGAUGUAGUAAGAUAACCUGGAAAGAGGCAUAUUUGUUGCCAUCAUGCAUGCUGCAUGUGGAUAAACAGAGAAAACAUGUUGAUAGAUCUUUGAUACGGCUCAUUUAUUCUUGCCGUGCGUGGCCCGUUGUACAAAGCAAAUGCUAUGUGAUGAUGCUGUUACAAUAAGAAGCUGCCCGGAUGAUCAUACUUUCAGUAGAGCACACAUUUGUAUUCUCGAAUGGUCAGUACAUGCAUGCAUUGUACAUGUUGGCCCAUCAAAAUCAUUACAUUAGGAUACUAUAUAACACACCAACCAUCAUCUAUAGGCGUAGGAUAACUUCUAUAUAACACACCAACCAUAAUCUAUAGGCGUAGGAUAACUUCUUUGUAAACUACAUUUCUUGUCUCGGAAGCUGGACAUCCACAAUCAUCCUCAAUCAGGAACUUGAGACCACCACGCAAAGUAACACGCGACACUGGAACAUACAAUUGCCCGUGCGAAAACAAAGGCCCUCGUAAAUACACGCACACCUUAUGUAAGGUUUGUCCCUAGCUUUUAUUGAUUGUCAUUGCAUAGCACAAUCUUAUUGUAAAUUGACACCAUCGCACCGUGAAUGGCCACUUAGACCCUGCUGGAUUCAGAACUAUACGUGGAACGCACACACGCUGUCCUUUAUUAGAACCAGUUAUAGUUUCUCCCUCUAAAACCCUGUCACCCAUCCGGGUAAUAAUCAAACUUGUUCCAUUGCAUAAACCCAAUGAUUGAUUAAUAUUUCUGAGAAGCAUAACAGAAACACCAACCUGAGUGGUCGGACCACUAGACGCAUCCGAAGAACCUCCUAAAAGAAUAUACGUACAACAUGAACCAAGCAAAACAUAAACGGUUUGUCUAAUUCACAUCUAGAUGUUUUUUAAGGAUGUCACGUCUAAUCUCCCAUAAAUAACACAGCAACAAGGAAUAAAAAAACCUGAGACAAAAAGAAUAGACCACAAACAUAGUGGAUACUAAUGCAAUCCACGGGGGAAGCCCGGACCACAGACAUGCACGCAGUCACAUCAAACCUACACAGUUGCAUGCAUGCAUGCACUCGCAGAUCACCGAAGCAUUUUCCUAAACAGAUGUAGUCGCGUCAACUCACCGGCAACAAAAUCAACAUGACGCUUUUCUAAACAAAUCUCUCAGCGCCGACGGCGCAAUUCACCAGCCGACGAACUCUGAGCUGUAGCCCCUGCAGAAAACGACCAAAUAAAUACCUAAUUAUACAUCGAAUACGCAGGAGAGAUUAACAAAAGGCCACCGGUUAAGCCAAAUCUACCAGCAGGUGCGGAGCCAGCGGGAUGACGACCACCAUGCACUAACUGAUCAUCGGGUAGACGGCCACCAAUAGCACCCUCCGCCAUGGGUGCAGCACGACCUCGUCGACGACCAACAACAGCCCCACGGAUUUCAGGAGGACGGCGAAGGCCGCUUCGGCCAGAACUCCCCGCGGACUGGGUGAAGACCACAACCUGAAACACGAGGGAAAACAAUGGGGGGGAUCACGUAUUUAUAAGGACCAGAG
RNAcentral lists this long non-coding RNA (3757 nucleotides) under Triticum aestivum (bread wheat). RNAcentral's name for it is "long non-coding RNA (TAES_LNC023525)". Lineage: Eukaryota; Viridiplantae; Streptophyta; Magnoliopsida; Poales; Poaceae. The record is from RNAcentral.